Molecule: non-coding RNA, 71 nt
Organism: Phrynosoma platyrhinos (Desert horned lizard)
Lineage: Eukaryota; Metazoa; Chordata; Lepidosauria; Squamata; Phrynosomatidae
Source: the annotation of a GenBank genome assembly
GCCAGUGUGGGGUAGUAGUUUGAAUGUCGGACUAUGACUCUGGAAACCAGGGUUCGAUUCCCACUUUGGCC